AAACACUACACAGCUUCCCCUGCCCAGAGGAUAAGGGAAGCAAGGAAGAGUGCUCGGCCGAAUCCAAGAAAACAAAGGAAAUCAAAGGAAAAUUUUCAUCUAUUCGAGAAUUUUAAAGAGUACAAAUAACAUUGGGAGAAGCACAACUAACUGAUAAAAACAAAAGAACACAAUCAACGAUUACAACAAUGUCCUGUAUCCAACCAGAAAUCUUUCAGUAGUGUGUUACAUAGACAUUAUAUUCAACAAUAGCAUCCCCAGUCUCCAUAUCAAUCUGAACUGUAUGUGCCAAUGCAUAGCCAUGAGCAAGCCUAAAAGCCCCACUGCCUCCAACAAUUGGCAUCUCUCUUAUAUCAUCAAAGAUGUGGUUCCUCCCAAGAAUGCUAAUGCUGCUUCCAUUAUAGAUGCCCUCUGUAAACACAUAAUUCACAACCAUUAACAGCGAAAAAUCAUUCUGGGCAGCCAUGGCAUAUAAUCCCUGAGCUUUUCCAAUCAUCUUGGAAGUAAUCUGAGGCCCUUCAGUCAAUGGAUCAUCCAUCAUCAUUGUAUUGCCAAAGUUACCAAUGCUGCUAUUUGGGGGUCCAGCAAUUCUUACAACAGUAGAAUUCUUUCCACCAACAAUAUCAUGGAAGUAGAAAUGGAGGUGCGUCGUCUUUUCUUCAUGCUUUAGAGCUAUACCUUGGGCUAAUUCUUCAUAGAAAACUCCUUGAGAAAUGGAGAAAAUUGAUGGGAACAAGAUGAAGUAGAGGGUGAAGAGAGAAUAUGUGAGAAAAGAAGCCAUUAUAAGAUUUUUUUUUUUUCAGGUGGUCUGUUUUUCCAGGACAUGUAGAUGACUGGGAUUGGGAAUGAUUUGAUUUUAAAGGG
Molecule: unclassified non-coding RNA, 864 nt
Filed under: Hevea brasiliensis (rubber tree)
Lineage: Eukaryota; Viridiplantae; Streptophyta; Magnoliopsida; Malpighiales; Euphorbiaceae
Source: RNAcentral